GGGUUGUGAGGUUAAGCGACUAAGCGUACACGGUGGAUGCCCUGGCAGUCAGAGGCGAUGAAGGACGUGCUAAUCUGCGAAAAGCGUCGGUAAGGUGAUAUGAACCGUUAUAACCGGCGAUGUCCGAAUGGGGAAACCCAGUGCAAUUCGUUGCACUAUCGUUAACUGAAUACAUAGGUUAACGAGGCGAACCGGGGGAACUGAAACAUCUAAGUACCCCGAGGAAAAGAAAUCAACCGAGAUUCCCCCAGUAGCGGCGAGCGAACGGGGAGCAGCCCAGAGUCUGAAUCAGCUUGUGUGUUAGUGGAACGGUCUGGAAAGUCCGACGGUACAGGGUGAUAGUCCCGUACACCAAAAUGCACAGGUUGUGAACUCGAAGAGUAGGGCGGGACACGUGGUAUCCUGUCUGAAUAUGGGGGGACCAUCCUCCAAGGCUAAAUACUCCUGACUGACCGAUAGUGAACCAGUACCGUGAGGGAAAGGCGAAAAGAACCCCGGCGAGGGGAGUGAAAAAGAACCUGAAACCGUGUACGUACAAGCAGUGGGAGCACCUUCGGGUGUGACUGCGUACCUUUUGUAUAAUGGGUCAGCGACUUAUAUUCUGUAGCAAGGUUAACCGUAUAGGGGAGCCGCAGGGAAACCGAGUCUUAACUGGGCGUUAAGUUGCAGGGUAUAGACCCGAAACCCGGUGAUCUAGCCAUGGGCAGGUUGAAGGUUGGGUAACACUAACUGGAGGACCGAACCGACUAAUGUUGAAAAAUUAGCGGAUGACUUGUGGCUGGGGGUGAAAGGCCAAUCAAACCGGGAGAUAGCUGGUUCUCCCCGAAAGCUAUUUAGGUAGCGCCUCGUGAAUUCAUCUUCGGGGGUAGAGCACUGUUUCGGCUAGGGGGUCAUCCCGACUUACCAACCCGAUGCAAACUACGAAUACCGAAGAAUGUUAUCACGGGAGACACACGGCGGGUGCUAACGUCCGUCGUGAAGAGGGAAACAACCCAGACCGCCAGCUAAGGUCCCAAAGUCAUGGUUAAGUGGGAAACGAUGUGGGAAGGCACAGACAGCCAGGAUGUUGGCUUAGAAGCAGCCAUCAUUUAAAGAAAGCGUAAUAGCUCACUGGUCGAGUCGGCCUGCGCGGAAGAUGUAACGGGGCUAAACCAUGCACCGAAGCUGCGGCAGCGACACUAUGUGUUGUUGGGUAGGGGAGCGUUCUGUAAGCCUGCGAAGGUGUGCUGUGAGGCAUGCUGGAGGUAUCAGAAGUGCGAAUGCUGACAUAAGUAACGAUAAAGCGGGUGAAAAGCCCGCUCGCCGGAAGACCAAGGGUUCCUGUCCAACGUUAAUCGGGGCAGGGUGAGUCGACCCCUAAGGCGAGGCCGAAAGGCGUAGUCGAUGGGAAACAGGUUAAUAUUCCUGUACUUGGUGUUACUGCGAAGGGGGGACGGAGAAGGCUAUGUUAGCCGGGCGACGGUUGUCCCGGUUUAAGCAUGUAGGCUGGUUGUCCAGGCAAAUCCGGAUAAUCAAGGCUGAGGUGUGAUGACGAGGCACUACGGUGCUGAAGUAACAAAUGCCCUGCUUCCAGGAAAAGCCUCUAAGCAUCAGGUAACAUUAAAUCGUACCCCAAACCGACACAGGUGGUCAGGUAGAGAAUACCAAGGCGCUUGAGAGAACUCGGGUGAAGGAACUAGGCAAAAUGGUGCCGUAACUUCGGGAGAAGGCACGCUGGUGUGUAGGUGAAGCCCCUGCGGGUGGAGCUGAGACCAGUCGAAGAUACCAGCUGGCUGCAACUGUUUAUUAAAAACACAGCACUGUGCAAACACGAAAGUGGACGUAUACGGUGUGACGCCUGCCCGGUGCCGGAAGGUUAAUUGAUGGGGUUAUCCGUAAGGAGAAGCUCUUGAUCGAAGCCCCGGUAAACGGCGGCCGUAACUAUAACGGUCCUAAGGUAGCGAAAUUCCUUGUCGGGUAAGUUCCGACCUGCACGAAUGGCGUAAUGAUGGCCAGGCUGUCUCCACCCGAGACUCAGUGAAAUUGAACUCGCUGUGAAGAUGCAGUGUACCCGCGGCAAGACGGAAAGACCCCGUGAACCUUUACUAUAGCUUGACACUGAACAUUGAGCCUUGAUGUGUAGGAUAGGUGGGAGGCUUUGAAGCGUGGACGCCAGUCUGCGUGGAGCCAACCUUGAAAUACCACCCUUUAAUGUUUGAUGUUCUAACGUUGGCCCCUGACCGGGGUUGCGGACAGUGUCUGGUGGGUAGUUUGACUGGGGCGGUCUCCUCCCAAAGCGUAACGGAGGAGCACGAAGGUUAGCUAAUCCUGGUCGGACAUCAGGAGGUUAGUGCAAUGGCAUAAGCUAGCUUGACUGCGAGCGUGACGGCGCGAGCAGGUGCGAAAGCAGGUCAUAGUGAUCCGGUGGUUCUGAAUGGAAGGGCCAUCGCUCAACGGAUAAAAGGUACUCCGGGGAUAACAGGCUGAUACCGCCCAAGAGUUCAUAUCGACGGCGGUGUUUGGCACCUCGAUGUCGGCUCAUCACAUCCUGGGGCUGAAGUAGGUCCCAAGGGUAUGGCUGUUCGCCAUUUAAAGUGGUACGCGAGCUGGGUUUAGAACGUCGUGAGACAGUUCGGUCCCUAUCUGCCGUGGGCGCUGGAGAAUUGAGGGGGGCUGCUCCUAGUACGAGAGGACCGGAGUGGACGCAUCACUGGUGUUCGGGUUGUCAUGCCAAUGGCACUGCCCGGUAGCUAAAUGCGGAAGAGAUAAGUGCUGAAAGCAUCUAAGCACGAAACUUGCCCCGAGAUGAGUUCUCCCUGAGACUUUAAGUCUCCUGAAGGAACGUUGAAGACGACGACGUUGAUAGGCCGGGUGUGUAAGCGCAGCGAUGCGUUGAGCUAACCGGUACUAAUGAACCGUGAGGCUUAACCUUACAACGCCGAAG
This 2923-nucleotide ribosomal RNA is filed under the name Klebsiella pneumoniae. Its description in RNAcentral is "bacterial LSU rRNA". It matches the Rfam family "Bacterial large subunit ribosomal RNA". Lineage: Bacteria; Pseudomonadati; Pseudomonadota; Gammaproteobacteria; Enterobacterales; Enterobacteriaceae. The record is from RNAcentral.